CCCUUGGUAGUCUAGUUGGUUAUGGCGUUCGGCUGUAAUUGUCUGAUUAUUGGUACCGAAAAGUCACCGGUUCGAUUCCGGUCCGAGGGA
RNAcentral lists this transfer RNA (90 nucleotides) under Hypoxylon sp. CI-4A. It matches the Rfam family "tRNA". From Rfam's summary of the family: Transfer RNA (tRNA) molecules are approximately 80 nucleotides in length. Lineage: Eukaryota; Fungi; Ascomycota; Sordariomycetes; Xylariales; Hypoxylaceae. The record is from Rfam by way of RNAcentral.